RNAcentral lists this ribosomal RNA (539 nucleotides) under Bifidobacterium longum subsp. infantis. RNAcentral describes it as "bacterial SSU rRNA". It matches the Rfam family "Bacterial small subunit ribosomal RNA", at positions 146 to 699 of the family's 1533-position model. RNAcentral also lists the same sequence under 2 other names. The record is from RNAcentral. Lineage: Bacteria; Bacillati; Actinomycetota; Actinomycetes; Bifidobacteriales; Bifidobacteriaceae.
UCUCCUGGAAAACGGGUGGUAAUGCCGGAUGCUCCAGUUGAUCGCAUGGUCUUCUGGGAAAGCUUUCGCGGUAUGGGAUGGGGUCGCGUCCUAUCAGCUUGACGGCGGGGUAACGGCCCACCGUGGCUUCGACGGGUAGCCGGCCUGAGAGGGCGACCGGCCACAUUGGGACUGAGAUACGGCCCAGACUCCUACGGGAGGCAGCAGUGGGGAAUAUUGCACAAUGGGCGCAAGCCUGAUGCAGCGACGCCGCGUGAGGGAUGGAGGCCUUCGGGUUGUAAACCUCUUUUAUCGGGGAGCAAGCGAGAGUGAGUUUACCCGUUGAAUAAGCACCGGCUAACUACGUGCCAGCAGCCGCGGUAAUACGUAGGGUGCAAGCGUUAUCCGGAAUUAUUGGGCGUAAAGGGCUCGUAGGCGGUUCGUCGCGUCCGGUGUGAAAGUCCAUCGCUUAACGGUGGAUCCGCGCCGGGUACGGGCGGGCUUGAGUGCGGUAGGGGAGACUGGAAUUCCCGGUGUAACGGUGGAAUGUGUAGAUAUCG